RNAcentral lists this ribosomal RNA (236 nucleotides) under uncultured bacterium. RNAcentral describes it as "partial 16S ribosomal RNA". It matches the Rfam family "Bacterial small subunit ribosomal RNA", at positions 99 to 334 of the family's 1533-position model. The record is from RNAcentral.
CGCACGGGUGCGUAACGCGUAUGCAACCUACCCACAACUGGGGGAUAGCCCGGAGAAAUCCGGAUUAAUACCCCAUAAUGCAGGGGUACUGCAUGGUACUAUUUGCUAAAGAUUUAUCGGUUGUGGAUGGGCAUGCGUCUGAUUAGUUAGUUGGUGAGGUAACGGCUCACCAAGGCGACGAUCAGUAGGGGGUCUGAGAGGAUGAUCCCCCACACUGGUACUGAGAUACGGACCAG